RNAcentral lists this ribosomal RNA (434 nucleotides) under uncultured Glomus. Its description in RNAcentral is "SSU rRNA". It matches the Rfam family "Eukaryotic small subunit ribosomal RNA", at positions 569 to 1012 of the family's 1831-position model. Lineage: Eukaryota; Fungi; Glomeromycota; Glomeromycetes; Glomerales; Glomeraceae. The record is from RNAcentral.
AGCAGCCGCGGUAAUUCCAGCUCCAAUAGCGUAUAUUAAAGUUGUUGCAGUUAAAAAGCUCGUAGUUGAAUUUCGGGAUCAGUACGCUGGUCAUGCCUUUGGUAUGCACUGGUGUCACUGGUUUCUCCCUUCUGAAGAUCCGUGAUGUCAUUAAUUUGGUGUCGCGGGGAAUCAGGACUGUUACUUUGAAAAAUUGAGUGUUUAAAGCAGGCUCACGCUUGAAUACAUUAGCAUGGAAUAAUGAAAUAGGACGUUUGACCCUAUUUGUGGUUUCUAGGAUCGACGUAAUGAUUAAUAGGGAUAGUUGGGGCAUUAGUAUUCAAUUGUCAGAGGUGAAAUUCUUGGAUUUAUUGAAGACUAACUACUGCGAAAGCAUUUGCCAAGGAUGUUUCAUUAAUCAAGAACGAAAGUUAGGGAUACGAAGACGAUACAGA